GUCGCGAACCAAUUAUGUGUUGUUGGUUGAAGUGCGGCACAACCUUUAAAUUAUAAAAUUAAGACUUAGACCUCACGUCUCAAGGUGAGUUAUCAUCAGCCUGCAACAGUCCGCUGCUAAACAUAGGCCUCCCCCAAAGCUCGCCACUGAACCCGAUCUUCGGUUCUACGCAUCCAGUUACUGCCAGCUGCCUUGCGCAGGUCGUCGCUCCAUCUAGCAGGAGAGCGAAGGUGAUUAGCAACAUUCAAUUAGUGUUAUCUAUGGGGCGCGGUAAUCAUUUAACACUAGAUGGGCCGUGAGCGAGUUUCACCCAUCUGUUAAAUAUAAAGUAAAAUAAAUUAUCUUGAAUGAAUGAUUAGUACGUAAUAGGAUACGUAUUGAGAUGUUUUAUUUAACACGAAACAGCGGCGUGUCAAUUAUUAGAACUUUGUGAUUUUUCCUGACGAAUCGGAUUGCCUUAGAUAAUUUUAUUAAGAUAGCGAAAUGAUAAAACUACACACAUAAUAUUAUUAUUAUAAUACUCUGUAUUACGCGACUAGCGAUGUCUCUGCGCGAUAUGUAUAUACGUCGUUUCAUAAUUAUCUAUACAUAAGUACCUACAGAGUGUAACGGUUGUGUUUAGUGUGCUUAGCUUGUGAGUUUUUUAACAUUCUCGAUAGCGUAAAAAUGAACAAAAAUUUGUAUGCAGUUGGAACAGCGCCCCUAGCAGCAAACGUAGGCAAACGUUCCAACUCCAUACAGAUUUGAGUUAACUUUUACGCUAUCGAGAACGUUAAAAAGCUCGCACUAAUCACACUGAACGUUUGGAAAUUAACUGUUUUAAUAAUGACGUGUUAACUGUGUGCUUAGUGCGACUUCGCCCUAACGUUUGUAGGUGAGCUCACGGGGCUCAAACCGGAGAGUUUGCUAACACUGACCCUAGCAAGAGCAGUGCUUCGCAGAAUGUACCACCGGAUCGGAAACGCGACCCACUGAGAAGAUCCGGCGAGAAACUCAGUGGGCUGUGUCUAUGGGUUAGUUCGCUCGUCGAGCCCUUCGUCGUAAGCGACGGCUUCGAAGAGGACGGUGACCGGUGCUUGUGGUGCCUAAAAGCACUGUUAAUGGAUCAGGAGGAUCCGUAAUGACGUGAGGUAGGCAAACGAUCCAAACUCCAUACAAAUAAGAACUAACUUUUACGCUAUCGAGAACGUAAAAAAACUCGCACUAAGCAUACUGUACGCAUUUUAAGAAAAAUCAGUUGACGUGUAAUGGUCUCGUGUUUCGAUCAGCUCAUUUUCCUUUGGAUUACGUGUUCACGAAGUACUUACUGACUGACUGAUUGAAAUGUAACGAUUGUAACAGAAGAUGAUUUUAACAGAAACAGAAAUAAUUCCUGUUCCAACCUUAAGAACAAUUGUUAUUCUGUUUAUUACGUUUUUCUUUGGAGUCCAUAGAAAUUACAACGUACACAACGAAGGGAGGGCGUCUUAAAAAGACUAGGACGGAUUGUAUGAAAGAGGAUAUGCGAGAGUAGGGUGUCACUGACCUAUUAUUAUACGUCUCAAUGGAAAAAGAGGACAUGAUGCACCAACCCACAUAGUGGGAUAUCUAAGGGCAAGAAGAAGAAGAAGACAUUAUAAUGUAAGCGCUGCCUCUUACAGUAGAAAUCCAGGUUAUACGAGUAUUAUGUAAUGGCAUUCCAAUAUAGUGACUGGGUAAUUAUAAUAAAGCCCUGUCUUUGUUGUAGCAACCUUGACAGUAAAUGCCAGUAAUCUUGUUAAGCUAUUAUUUAACUAUUGCGGAAAAUGUCUAUUACAUAAUGUGUGGUGUAUUACAUAUAUUUUCUGACUAGACUAGAUUAAUGGAUCAAUUCUUAGUGCACUCACAGCCUCCAGGUGGUCACAGGAUCCUACAGAGACCACGGUUGACAUCCAUUCUCGCAGAGGCUUUUGAUAACAAGGUUUGACAGUUUUUGGUGGGAAAUGGCAAAGAUGAUUGCAGAAAAAUCAAUGCCUAAACAUGACAAUAUAAAUGCUAACAUUUAUGUUAAGGUUUCCUUGCCUUAGUUGGGGAGGUAGGGACUUGUGUGUUUUUUACUUCUACCACCGCUAGUUAUAAUAAAUAACUACUAAUUUUUGUUAUUUUCGUGCUAUGAUUUUGUCGCUUAAUGUUACAGACAUUUUUAGGACUUAAUAAUUAAGAUGCCUUGUGAUGUCUCAAGAUCUUCAAAAUUUAUCUGCUUUACAUUCUAUGUAAUAAUUCAUUAAAUUAUCACAUUUAAUGUCCGUUUUAUUAGCUAUUGGUUUUCACUGUCUACAAAACAACUGUCGACAUUAAUUUAUUCAAACGGCUAGUGUGGGCUAGUGUUACGCGGGCGCUUCAAGGAAAAAAAGUACGUAAGCAUCUGGAACGUUCAAAUUAAAAAUGCACCGUUCCUUCCGUGUACACGGCCAUAAAAUCACGUAACAACUCAAUAAAACUACACGUUGAACUUAAUAGAAAAACAAUUUGGCACGACAUGCCUAUUUACAUUGCCCUAUCGCUUGUUCGUUUGUUUUUGUUGCGCUCUAAAUAUAAUUGGGUCUAUCAGUGUGCGGCGUCGGACGUUGAAUUGUUGAGCGAAUACAAAUCCAGUUAGUUGCGUGGCGUCAUAGCGUGCGCUCGUGUUAAAAAUGUUAGUGAAAUUAUCGUUCCCUUGCUUCUUGUCGGAAUAUCCCGACGUCGACAUGCUCCGGUGCAAAGAAAUUAACUACUUCGUAACGGAAUGCGUGCUGCCGCGCCGACCGAAGCGUUGUCUUCCACCGCUCCCGGAGGACAAGGAAUACAACAGCGGAGACUUGAAGAAACCAAACAAAACCAGGAGGAGACGUAAGAACAGAAAACAGUGUCUGACACUGCCCGCUUUACCUGAAUAUGACGAGAAUUGAAGCUAAAUUGUUUAUGGAAUUCGUCGAGUAUUUUAUGGCGAAUCACCGUUUCAUUUUCUUGUGAAAACAAGGGAUUGUGAUAAAGUGCAAAUAAUUAAUAGUACCUUCAUUUGGGUUUUUUCGUGGUAACCUUCGGAUGCGUCUAGUCGAUGUGCGUCGUUGGCAGUCAGCGAUGUGUCAAGUUCCAAUGGGAUUUUCCUAAUGAUAUGAUGAGAAUGCGUCGAAUGCAAUUGAUAAUACAUCGUGGCCUAGUGGUUAUUAUUAAUUACAAAGAUAUAAGUCCUUAUAAUGUGCGUUUGUAUGUAAGGUAUAAUUAAAGAUUUAAUGUAUGUCAGAUUCAAUAUUUACUAUAGUCAUGAUUAUUGUAUUUAUUAAAAUAGAAUUAUUGUGUUUUAUGCUGUUUAAAAAUGUUAUAACAGAUUUUAGGGAUUUAAAUAGUUUAGAAUAAAUCAUUUUUGUAAGGUAACAGAAUAAAUUGCUUGAUAUCUAUCUAUUUUGCGCCGCCUUCGCCAUUCAAAUGUAGUAAAUUAGUAACGUUUUUUAAUGAAACUAAAGUAACUUCAUAUUAUCCAAAAAAAAGUGAAAAUUUAUCCACACAAUAAACAUCCAUAAUAUAUUAUGUAUCAUUCACUGUUGUUGUAAUCCAUGAUAGGCAAAGAACUUAUUUUUAAUUUUAAGUAUUCGCAAUUGAUGUCUGAUUUUCUAGUUAUGUCAAUUAAAAAUGAUGUAGUUAUGUACCUUUUAUCUUUCUUUGAGGUCGCUUUGUACUGUAUGCGAUUUUGUAAGUGCUAUUAUUGAUAAGAAAAGGAAAACGAAAACAUUGUAUGUACAUUUCACCCGUUAGUUUGUUUUAAUUUUAUUUUUUUAACGCAAACUGAUAAACAAUCUUAAUAUUAUUAUUGUGACGUCAAAAUGAUAAUUUGUUAUCGUGUUGCGACGUGAAGAUAGAUAAUUUCGACCACUAGAUACUUUUAUCUUGAUUUUUUUACCAAAGAUUCACAUGAGUCGGUUUGUUAUUUCUUGUUGUCAUUUCUUUUCGGUUGUUUUUUUUCGGGAAAUUUAAACGUUCAUAAUAGUGCUGCUUUUUUUUUUGAAGGCUGUUGUUAUAUACGAGUAUAUAUCGUUAAAACAUUGCCCAGCUCUAGAUAUCUGGAUGGUUUUUAAGCAUCGUCCAUUUUUAUAGGUCUGUUUAGCGAUGGAAUCAAGCUAGUUACUUGUAACGAUCUGUGAUACACAUUUCUGUUUUAAAUGUGAAUUAUGUGUAAUUAAACUAUGUGAAAUAAAUUUGAAACGUGA
Bombyx mori (domestic silkworm) is the source of this 4202-nucleotide long non-coding RNA. RefSeq lists it as uncharacterized. The record is from RefSeq and is a predicted model, not a curated record. Lineage: Eukaryota; Metazoa; Arthropoda; Insecta; Lepidoptera; Bombycidae. The transcript has 2 exons.